UGUAAAAUGCAGUAUAACAACGAUGCUAGCUCUAGUUCAAGUUCUUUGAGUUCAAGAGCAAAAGAUAAAGCUGGGUUGGAUAUACUACUUUGCCACUGUGGAAUUCCAUCAAAGCUAAGGAUUUCUGCCAAAGAUACUAGUUUUGGCAGACGAUUUUUCAAUUGUCCAAAGUAUAAGAUGGACAAACAGUGCGGAUUUUUUCAAUGGAUUGAUUUUGAAAUGGAACAAAACAGAUGUUGCAAAAUUACAUUGGAGUUAGCUCAAAGAAGGAACAACAGGAUCAAUGAAACACGUAGGUUCCUUGAAGAAAA
Long non-coding RNA from Juglans microcarpa x Juglans regia, 311 nucleotides. RefSeq lists it as uncharacterized. NCBI's taxonomy places the organism in Eukaryota, Viridiplantae, Streptophyta, Magnoliopsida, Fagales, Juglandaceae. The record is from RefSeq and is a predicted model, not a curated record. The transcript has 3 exons.